This 118-nucleotide ribosomal RNA is filed under the name Methanobacteriaceae archaeon. RNAcentral's name for it is "partial 16S ribosomal RNA". It matches the Rfam family "Archaeal small subunit ribosomal RNA", at positions 1 to 114 of the family's 1478-position model. Lineage: Archaea; Methanobacteriati; Methanobacteriota; Methanobacteria; Methanobacteriales; Methanobacteriaceae. The record is from RNAcentral.
AAUCCGUUUGAUCCUGGCGGAGGCUACUGCUAUUGGGGUUCGAUUAAGCCAUGCAAGUCGAACGAAUCAACUUGUUGAUUCGUGGCGAACGGCUCAGUAACACGUGGAUAACCUACCC